This 498-nucleotide ribosomal RNA is filed under the name uncultured Acinetobacter sp. Its description in RNAcentral is "bacterial SSU rRNA". It matches the Rfam family "Bacterial small subunit ribosomal RNA", at positions 30 to 519 of the family's 1533-position model. The record is from RNAcentral. Lineage: Bacteria; Pseudomonadati; Pseudomonadota; Gammaproteobacteria; Moraxellales; Moraxellaceae.
AUUGAACGCUGGCGGCAGGCUUAACACAUGCAAGUCGAGCGGGGAUAGGGUGCUUGCACCUGAUUCCUAGCGGCGGACGGGUGAGUAAUACUUAGGAAUCUGCCUAUUAGUGGGGGAUAACGGCUCGAAAGGGUCGCUAAUACCGCAUACGUCCUACGGGAGAAAGCAGGGGAUCACUUGUGACCUUGCGCUAAUAGAUGAGCCUAAGUCGGAUUAGCUAGUUGGUGGGGUAAAGGCCUACCAAGGCGACGAUCUGUAGCGGGUCUGAGAGGAUGAUCCGCCACACUGGGACUGGGACACGGCCCAGACUCCUACGGGAGGCAGCAGUGGGAAUAUUGGACAAUGGGGGAACCCUGAUCCAGCCAUGCCGCGUGUGUGAAGAAGGCCUUAUGGUCGUAAAGCACUUUAAGCGAGGAGGAGGCUCCCGUAGCUAAUAUCUACGGAGAGUGGACGUUACUCGCAGAAUAAGCACCGGCUAACUCUGUGCCAGCCGCCGCC